This 242-nucleotide long non-coding RNA is filed under the name Elaeis guineensis (African oil palm). RNAcentral's name for it is "long non-coding RNA (EGUI_LNC009904)". The record is from RNAcentral. Lineage: Eukaryota; Viridiplantae; Streptophyta; Magnoliopsida; Arecales; Arecaceae.
GUGAGGCAUCAGAUUCAAGCAGUCCUUGGGGAUUUUGAUCCCUAUUCUGCUAUGUUUCAGGUAAAGAUAAAUGUUAUGUUAACUUUUAAAAUAAAAAAAAUUUUCAAAUGCUCUUUGGCGAUCCGAUCCUGAAUUGGAUUUUUUCCUUCAACUAGUAUCAGAGCGAGGUUGAUACAUAGAUACGUAGAUAAUUUUUUCUAAUAUGUUUACACCUUGUAUGUAAUCAUAUUUUUAUGUUAGAU